CUGUUAGGGGAAUGAUGUAUUAUUACAGGGCUCUAAAGAUGCUUUCUUUCCUUGACUCUGCAUCGGAGGUGGACAUAAGG
RNAcentral lists this small nucleolar RNA (80 nucleotides) under Ipomoea nil (Japanese morning glory). RNAcentral describes it as "Small nucleolar RNA J33". It matches the Rfam family "Small nucleolar RNA J33". From Rfam's summary of the family: J33 is a member of the C/D class of snoRNA which contain the C (UGAUGA) and D (CUGA) box motifs. Most of the members of the box C/D family function in directing site-specific 2'-O-methylation of substrate RNAs. The record is from Rfam by way of RNAcentral. Lineage: Eukaryota; Viridiplantae; Streptophyta; Magnoliopsida; Solanales; Convolvulaceae.